This 492-nucleotide ribosomal RNA is filed under the name uncultured bacterium. Its description in RNAcentral is "partial 16S ribosomal RNA". It matches the Rfam family "Bacterial small subunit ribosomal RNA", at positions 29 to 507 of the family's 1533-position model. The record is from RNAcentral.
AGUGAACGCUGGCGGUAGGCCUAACACAUGCAAGUCGAACGGCAGCACAGUAAGAGCUUGCUCUUACGGGUGGCGAGUGGCGGACGGGUGAGGAAUACAUCGGAAUCUACUUUUUCGUGGGGGAUAACGUAGGGAAACUUACGCUAAUACCGCAUACGACCUACGGGUGAAAGCAGGGGAUCUUCGGACCUUGCGCGAUUGAAUGAGCCGAUGUCGGAUUAGCUAGUUGGCGGGGUAAAGGCCCACCAAGGCGACGAUCCGUAGCUGGUCUGAGAGGAUGAUAAGCCACAUUGGAACUGAGACAGGGUCCAGACUCCUAAGGGAGGCAGCAGUGGGGAAUAUUGGACAACGGGCGCAAGCCUGAUCCAGCCAUACCGCGUGGGUGAAGAAGGCCUUCGGGUUGUAAAGCCCUUUUGUUGGGAAAGAAAAGCAGCAGGUUAAGACCCCGCUGUUCUGACGGUACCCAAAGAAUAAGCACCGGCUAACUUCGUG